This 79-nucleotide small nucleolar RNA is filed under the name Erinaceus europaeus (western European hedgehog). Lineage: Eukaryota; Metazoa; Chordata; Mammalia; Eulipotyphla; Erinaceidae. The record is from RNAcentral.
UUGCUAAAAGUAAUUGUGGUAUAGAAAAUGUAUUCGUCUCAGAAGCUACUGAGGUGGCCUAUUCUAUCCUAGUACAGUA